AUCUAAUUCUGUACAAAUAUAACGCGGCGUGACGAUGCUGAUCGGUCUGGUUCGCGAUUCUGUGCUGCAAUGCUUUUGCCACAGCUGCAAAGCCCCUUUGGGGUUGGUUGCUGCAAGCCAACGGCGUGGUGCGCCGAUCACGAAGAAGCCGGCCGGCAAAGGGAAACCACGCACGAAACAACCGAAAAAAGUCAAAUUUAUCACGACUGAGAUUCGAUGCCAGGAGAAAUCUAAGGGCGGCUUAUGCUAUGAAGUGAUUUUGGCUGAGCCGACAGUCCCAAAACGGACUUCCUCACCACCGCAGCCAAGUCCGACUCAGCAAGUAGCGAUAGAAGACAAGCUGAGAGCAGCCGAAGAAAGGCGACUCUCGCUGGAGGCCCACAAAUUGGCUGCUCUUGCGACAAAGCUUGGAAAAAUUGAGGAGGCAUCUCGCAAAAAGGACGAGCUCAGCGCUGCCUUCAUUUCUCAGACCCGCGAGGCUCUUGAUGCUAAAAUGACCAACACCGAGGAAAAACGAGAGGCUCACAUCGCCGACCUUAAGAGCAAGCUGAAGGAACAUUUGGAGAGUGUGGAAAAGACUCGCCUCAGUUUGGAGCAGCAAACAGAGGAAGUUCGAUGCGCGGUUGAAGAAAAGCUCAAGACUGCCGCAGCUCAGCGUGACGAAAAUAUUAAGAAGAUGCUCGAUCGCCUGAAGGAACAUGAGGACCAAGUUGUUCGCGUACGGACUGGAAUGUCAGAGCGAGUGCAGCAGCUCGAAUCCCAGAUUCAAGGCAAAUUGGAUCAAGCACGCGAGCGGCGUGAGACAAUAGAGCGCGAGCAGAAGGAAAAGCUGCGUAAUCAUGUAAGUUUAACGGCUGACGAGUUAUUUUUAAUUAAGAUGCAUGUGUACUUGAAAUGUACAUAUAUAACAAGAGAGAUUUUUCGGAAGUGCGUCAAGUAGCCGAGGUCUUUGCGCUGAAGGCACUCGAGGCUAAAGAGCGAGAGCUCGCCAUGAGGCUGACUGCUGCUGAAAUCAACCGGCAGCGAGAGAUUCAGCGUCGUGUUCAGGCCAUUCGCCAGCAUGAGAGGCGUGCUGAGAUAGUGAGGCAGAACAAAGCAGCACUUGCUGGACAAGAAUCAAAGACAGGGGAUCAGCCAAGCUCGCCGGUGGAAAAGGAGACAGCCAGCUCUGGUUAAAUUUCCUUCUUCCCUUUCUCAUUUAAUAAUAAACAUCAUUUUCCAACGUUCUAUACAUAUAUUUUGCUAGGGCGUAACGAUUGUUCCCGUCAUGAUGUGCGUAGCGAAUUCGUACUGAUACACUGAAGAGGAUUCAUUACAUGUAAACGAAUGAGGAGGCUUUGGGCGACGUUCGAAUCUUGUGACAAAUAUUUACAGACGAUUCGACGCGUUGAUGGAUUACAAUUUUCUUCUUUUCAACUUCACUUCGCGUUACAUGUUAGUCUGUUUCAUUUUUCUAUCAAAAAAUUACGCUUUAAUUUUUUCAACCGUCGCCUGGAUUAUCAUUAUUUUUUUUUUUUUUUUUCUUUUUUCUUCUAGUACCGAAUUAUUCAGUCUAAGUUAUUGAAAAAUAUAUCACGAUGACUAUCUAGCCGUUGAUAUAAUUUUUAAAUAUAGUCACUUAUUUUUCAUUUUCACUUUUAUGUAUUUUUAUUUAUUUUUCUUUUACCUUUAAUCGUGUUCUAUUCAGUGAUUUAAAUAUAAAAAAUGAAAAGGCCACGUGAAAAUUAAGAAGGACUUCAGUAAAUAUCCUCUGCGUAACAAAGUAACGAGAUAAUCGCCUGCGAAAUAUAUAUGGAAUCGCUAUUAAUAACUAUUAAAAUAACAGUUUAAUUUUUAUGCUUGUGACAAAAUGAAACUUAUUCACAAAA
Diprion similis is the source of this 1868-nucleotide RNA transcript. It is a transcript of the gene named stress response protein nst1, with no coding region annotated. The transcript has 7 exons. Lineage: Eukaryota; Metazoa; Arthropoda; Insecta; Hymenoptera; Diprionidae. The record is from RefSeq and is a predicted model, not a curated record.